This 253-nucleotide ribosomal RNA is filed under the name uncultured bacterium. Its description in RNAcentral is "partial 16S ribosomal RNA". It matches the Rfam family "Bacterial small subunit ribosomal RNA", at positions 524 to 776 of the family's 1533-position model. The record is from RNAcentral.
UACGUAGGGUGCAAGCGUUAAUCGGAAUUACUGGGCGUAAAGCGUGCGCAGGCGGCUUUGCAAGACAGAUGUGAAAUCCCCGGGCUCAACCUGGGAACUGCAUUUGUGACUGCAUGGCUAGAGUACGGUAGAGGGGGAUGGAAUUCCGCGUGUAGCAGUGAAAUGCGUAGAUAUGCGGAGGAACACCGAUGGCGAAGGCAGCCUCCUGGGCUAGUACUGACGCUCAUGCACGAAAGCGUGGGGAGCAAACAGG